AUACCCUAUUAUUUUUAUAGUAAAAUUUGAGCUAAAGUAUUAGUAGUUAUGAUCUUAAAACUUAAAGAAUUUGACGGUAUUAUAGUCUAUUUAGAGGAAUCUGUUACGUAAUUGAUAAUCCACAUUGAACCUUACUUAUAUUAUUUCUUGUAUAUCGCUGUUUGAGAAUAUUUUUUUAGAAAAUUUUCUAAAUUUAUUAUUAAUUAAAAUUUCAAGUCAAGGUGCAGUAAUAUAUAAGUUGAAUAAUGGAUUACAAUAAAUUUUAUUUAUUAUGAAUAAUUAUUAGAAAAGUUAAUUUGAAGGUGGAUUUAAAUGUAAUUUUAUAAAGAUUAUUAGAAUGAUUAAUGGCUCUAUAGUAUGUACACAUCGCCC
Molecule: ribosomal RNA, 372 nt
Filed under: Euchomenella sp. MN091
Lineage: Eukaryota; Metazoa; Arthropoda; Insecta; Mantodea; Mantidae
Description: partial 12S ribosomal RNA
Source: RNAcentral